AUGGGGGGGAAGAAGAUGCACACGCUAUUCUCUGAUGGAAGCCAACAUGCAGAUCUCUUUUUCUACAUGCCCUACUUAGUCCCAUUGCUGAAGGAUGAAUUUGCAGAGUCAGAGCUUCUCAGCUGUUGGGCACAUGGUGUCCUUGCCUGCACAGGUGAGAACAGUGGAUACCACUGGAGAAUCCCUCACAGCCUGUCCAGGCAGCACAAGGACUGCCACAGGCAGUGACCCCGCUCACUAAGCAGGUAGGAGCCAGCCAGUUGCCAAGUGGUGCACACGGUGUAGCUGUGAUCCAACCCACUCUAUGCCUUACACACCUGCCUCAAAGCUACACACUAAAGCCCCUUUCCUUGCUCUGGACUUGAAGGAUUAAAACAAGAUUCCUUUCUUGAAGGUAAAGGAGGACUUCAUACCUUUAUGCCAGGUUUUUCAUACCUCUCAUCUGGUAGCCUCGUAACUCAAACCUUGCCAAUAAGGAGGAAAGUUAGGUUUCAGUCUUUCUUCAGCAUGUUCUCUCCAGUGGAAGAAGCUAAAUUAACAGACAGGAUGGAAGAAUGAUGAGAGAAUGGAGAGAAUUAGCAAGUGGUAACAUAAUUCUGCAGCUUGUUUUGAUAACUUGGCUUUUAAAGGUGUAUGGUAAAGUUCUCCUUCAGCUCUUACAUUAUCAGUAAUCAUUAUUUUUUAGAUGAAUAUUGGAAUAAGAAGUUAGCUCAGAUCUUCCAACUGACACUGUAU
RNAcentral lists this long non-coding RNA (735 nucleotides) under Parus major (Great Tit). Its description in RNAcentral is "lncRNA (ENSPMJG00000010746.1)". The record is from RNAcentral. Lineage: Eukaryota; Metazoa; Chordata; Aves; Passeriformes; Paridae.